Molecule: long non-coding RNA, 734 nt
Filed under: Homo sapiens (human)
Lineage: Eukaryota; Metazoa; Chordata; Mammalia; Primates; Hominidae
Description: HSALNT0406418
Source: RNAcentral
ACCAUGAAGGUCCUGAAUGAUAUGAAUAAAAUAGCAUUCGCGGCAGAGUGAUCUCCUUGGAUCUCCUGAGUGGCCCAUUUGGCAGUGGGUGAGGAACUUGGGGCUCAGUGAGAUGGAGUGACUUUGACCUGCCUGAUGUUCCACAGCCAGCAGUGUAUUUUCUCCAGGUAAAGAAAGCUUUUCGUGGUUCACUGACUGAGGAAAAUCAACCCCUCCACAAUCUAGAACCUGAAGACUGGAUCUUCUGGGAACAUCAGAAAUAGACUGCCUUUGCCAUCCACACUACAGCAAAACUCUGGGACCUUGAACUUUGGGUUCAUAAUCUCACAACCCAAAAGGUUCCCUCCACACUCCUGGAACUGUACACCCUUUGGAAACUUUAAGGUAACACUAACCAGGGAAGUGUCUCCCCAGAAGAUGACAUUCUUGAUGUGAACAGCUUUUCCCCAAGAUCAUGAAUCAAGAUUCCUCUACUAUCAGGAGACUCUCAAUCUUUCAAAUUUUUCCCCCUUGCUUAUGCCUCCAUGAGCAAUAGAGGUGAAGUCGGGGUCAGUUGUGUGUACUCAUGGGGUAUACUUUUAUUUGUGAAGGAUUUUGCAGCCAGCCUUGUACAUGGAUAACCUUAUGGUUUGACAGAUGGAAGAUGAAGGCCCAAUGUAGGUGGAAUGACAAGAGCUGAAAGAAAUGUGUGGCCAUGAGGGCACCAUAACCUAUGAAUGACGUGCUGAGACCAG